UACGUAGGGUGCAAGCGUUGUCCGGAAUCAUUGGGCGUAAAGCGCGCGUAGGCGGCCCCGUAAGUCCGCUGUGAAAGUCAAAGGCUCAACCUUUGAAAGCCGGUGGAUACUGGGGGGCUAGAGUCCGGAAGAGGCGAGUGGAAUUCCUGGUGUAGCGGUGGAAUGCGCAGAUAUCAGGAGGAACACCAAUAGCGAAGGCAGCUCGCUGGGACGGUACUGACGCUAAGGCGCGAAAGCGUGGGGAGCAAACAGG
RNAcentral lists this ribosomal RNA (253 nucleotides) under uncultured bacterium. RNAcentral's name for it is "partial 16S ribosomal RNA". It matches the Rfam family "Bacterial small subunit ribosomal RNA", at positions 524 to 776 of the family's 1533-position model. The record is from RNAcentral.